GCUGGGCGUGGUGGCGGGCACCUGUAAUCCCAGCUACUCAGGAGGCUGAGGCAGGAGAAUCGUUUGAACCCAGGAGGUGGAGGUUGCAGUGAGCUGAGAUCAAGCCACUGCACUCCAGCCUGGGUGACAGGGCGAGACUCCGCCUCAA
This is an unclassified non-coding RNA of Pongo abelii (Sumatran orangutan), 148 nucleotides long. It matches the Rfam family "Metazoan signal recognition particle RNA". Rfam says of the family: The signal recognition particle (SRP) is a universally conserved ribonucleoprotein. It is involved in the co-translational targeting of proteins to membranes. Lineage: Eukaryota; Metazoa; Chordata; Mammalia; Primates; Hominidae. The record is from Ensembl.